Molecule: unclassified non-coding RNA, 151 nt
Filed under: uncultured Pleosporales
Lineage: Eukaryota; Fungi; Ascomycota; Dothideomycetes; Pleosporales
Description: sequence contains ITS2
Source: RNAcentral
GUACCCUCAAGCUCUGCUUGGUGUUGGGCGUUUGUCCCGCUUCGCGCGAGGACUCGCCUCAAAUCAAUUGGCAGCCGGCAGUCUGGUGUUUGAGCGCAGCACAUUUCGCGCUCUCCGCUGGACUGCGGCGUCCACAAGGCUACCAUCUAAC